Molecule: long non-coding RNA, 2372 nt
Filed under: Homo sapiens (human)
Lineage: Eukaryota; Metazoa; Chordata; Mammalia; Primates; Hominidae
Description: HSALNT0313165
Source: RNAcentral
CCAGGGAUAUGCACAGACAGAGAAAAGACCAUGUGAAGACAUAGUGAGAAGGCCAUCUGCAAGUGAAGGGGAGAGGCCUCAGGAGAAACCACACCUGUAGACAUCUUGAUCGCAGACUUCUAGCUUUUAGAACUGUUGUUUCAGCCACCCUGUCUAUGGCAUUUUGUUAUGGCAGCCCUAGCAGACUUAAUGUGCUCAGCGAUAAAAAGAAGUGAAAUACUAUACACUGACAUGGAGGAAUCUAAAUAAUACUGUGUCGAAUGAAAGAAGCCUUAAACAAAACAGCAUGUAACUGUAUGAUUCCAUUUAUAUGCCAUUUUAGAAUAGGCAAAAUUAAUUUUUUAGAAAAAAUAUCGGAACAGUUGUUGCCUCUGAGGCAAGGAAUUUAGCAUCGUGAUUGACCCAGGUGGCAUGAAAGGAUUCUGGGGGUGAUGAUCCUGUUUUUUCAAUCCAGACUGGGCUUUGAAUUACAUAGUUGUAUUUAUUUGUCAAAAUUCAUUGAAUGGUAUAUUUGACAUUUGUACAUUUAUUGUAUAUUAACUUUACCUCAAAAGAAAAUAUACAUACUUUAAGAUAAAUAUUAAACAUUAGUCAGUGAUAUGCAUGCUGAAGUAUCUGGAGUGAGUGUACUGAUUUUGCAAACUACUCUGAAAUGUGUCAAAAGUAAAGUGAUUGAUGAAGAAUGCGCUUGAACAACACUAUGAAAUUUUGGACUUUGAAGACAUGGAAGGUGAGGGCUUGAAGAAAGAAAAAUCUUAUUGGAAACUAAAGGAAAGGGGCUCUUUGUUAUGCAGUGGUAGAAAGUUUAGCAAUACAGUUUUCUGAAAUUAUAUGGAAAAUGUGUCUAUUGGCAAGGGUAAUCUAGCUAAGGAGAUUUUCAAAUAGUGUUGAAGGUGACACCUGAUUUCUUCUUGGGUCUUACAGGAAGGCGUUGAAUUGAGAGAAGGAAGAUUAAAGAUGAAAUCAAGGGUGUGACUUAAAACCAUUCGUGAAGACCUCAGAAGAAACAAAGAUGGUGCCUCAGAAUACGAUUCAGUCACAUAGGAGCGCUUUAAAUAAAUUAAGGUUUCACAGGUUAAGAAGAAGAAAUGUACUCAAAGAGCUGUACUUAAGGAAUUAAAACUGAGGAGCCCCAACUGCACCUGGACCUGAUUUAGAUGACAAGAUUUUGGAUAUUGAGCUCACACUGCAAUGGGAUGAGACUUUGCAAUCCUUGGAGGGAAAAUAGCAAUGGCAUGUGACCAACAAAACACAUGAGAACACGGUUAAUCCAAUUUUCCUGAGCUGAAAGAGAGAGGACAGGUAAAAAGGAAAGUGAAAGCAACAGUAUCCUUGGAGUCUGGCUCACAGCCAAGCAGAUGGGCCAUGACCCCCAGAACCCAUCUCUCUGAGCCUCUGGUUCUUUGUAAAGUGGGUACCACCUACCUCCUAGGGAUGCCGUGAGGAUUAUGUUACAGUGUGCCUUAUACAGUAACAGUAUUAACUGCUCAAUAAAAGGUCUUUAUUGUUUUACCAAUGAGUCCAGAAAGAGCAAGGAACAAACAAGAAGAAAAUCAAGGGGAAAGCAAGAAAAAAACGAAAGCCAAUGGAGUAUGAAGAAGACUACGUGCAAGUAAGUCCUGUAGGUAGACAUUGAUUAGAGGCAAAAGUCAGAGAGGGCAUGACUAUGGUAUGAUUAGUGGGAUAAGCUAGGGAAAAAUUAAACCCCACCUUGAGGAAAUAAAUUGAAGAGCUACGGAUGUGUUACCCUGUAGGUUUCCAGAAGAAUGAUUGAAACUAAAACUAGUAUAGGGCCUUUGAGCAAAAUAUUUAAUGGUUGGAGAAAAAAAACCAAGAUGAUUAUAUAUUAAACAUGUAUACCUUUCUGCAUGUCCCUUCCCAGGAAGAAAAAAUAAUGGACAAAAUAAAAAAGAUUAUAAUAUAAUUAUUAACUAUAUAAUAAUUAACACUUCAGUGAUUACUCUCUGAUAACCACUGUUUGAAGUGCUUAUCAAGCACAGUCUUAUUUAAUCAUCAUUACAACUCUGUGAGGAAGAAAUAAUUGUUAUCAUUUACCAAGAAGGUGACUGAGUCACAGGGAAAUUUAACUUGUCCACUUCGGUGGGCAAGUUAAGCAACACUACACUAAAUUGCUUCUCACAGUUAUCCUGAGCUGGGUCACAAACUUUGGGUAGAAUAACACUCUGGUGUAAUGAGUUUAAAGCACCUACAAUAAGAAUAAGACCCCAAAUUGUUGCAAUGAAAAAUAUAGUAACUUUGGAUUGGUAAUAGACAGUCCUUUAAAAGAUCACACAUAAGCCAGGCACUGCGGCUCAUGCCUGUAAUCCCAGCACUUUGGGAGGCCAAGGGAAAGAGGAUCACUUGAGCCCAGA